Molecule: ribosomal RNA, 1767 nt
Filed under: Triticum aestivum (bread wheat)
Lineage: Eukaryota; Viridiplantae; Streptophyta; Magnoliopsida; Poales; Poaceae
Description: partial small subunit ribosomal RNA
Source: RNAcentral
AUGGCACCAACUAUGCUGAGUUCGCCGGUUUCAUGCGUAUCCAUAUGUGCGGUCUUCUGCUGUGGGGAGUUCUCUCUGGCGAGGUCCCCUGUCCGCCAUGCCCGGUUGCUCCCCUGGCUCCUACCCCGCCGACACCGCCAGUUCUUGCUGCUAAUGCUUCUCAGGCUGAUCGGGAUGCAGCCAAGGCGCUUGAUGAUGCUGUGGUUGAUGCUUAUGAUCAGCAGGUAUCUGCUUAUUCGGAUGCUCUCUCCGUCUACUGCGAUGAUCUUUCUGCUUACACUCAGUGGUGCAAUGAUGAUGCUCGGGCAGCUGCCGUUCUUACUGCGAUUGUCCUUCCUCAGUUUGCUUCGGAGUUCAUGGUCCUCGGCACCGUUGCAGCGAUGUGGUCUUAUUUGUGUCAGCGAUACCAGCCCUCUGGUGAUGCUCUCUACUUAUCUGUGGUUCGUCAGGAGCAUGCUCUCCAGUAGGGUGACUCUUCUGUUGCUGAGUUCUACUCACAGAGUUCUGCCAUCUGGCGUCAGCUUGACUCUCUUCGGACAGCUGUGUGUGGAACUUACCGUUGCUGCCAGACUACUCGAUCUGACUUGGAGUUCUAGAAGUGGGACCGCAAGCCCGAGCCCCUGUGUCGUCUGCUCGUCUCACUUCUCCACCGGUCAUGCCCACACCUUCAGGGGGGUGGGUCGCCCUCCUUAUGUUGACAAGGGUCGGUCUCGCCGUGACACCUUCUGUGACUACUGCUCCAGGCCUGGUCACCCAGAGUUUGAUUGUCACCAGAAGCAGCGCAACCAGAGGCACUCCUCUUCCAGUGGGACUCCUGUGUCGUCAUCGACUCCGUCACUCACUGACCAGGACAUUGUGCGGCUCAAACGCCUUCUGGCUUCCUCUGGUUCCUCAUCGACGGGUUCUGCUGCUGCUGUGACUGCUUUCACCACUUCAUCACCGCCGGCAUCUACACCGUCAGGUACAUCUUCGUGGGUUCUGGACUCUGGAGCUUCCUUUCAUAUGUCUUCUGAUUCUUCAGCUUUGUCUUCUCUUCGCCCUCUUGAUUCUCCUAUUAAUGUUCUUAUUGCCGAUGGCACAUCUCUUCCUGUUGCUAGUCGUGGCUUUCUUUCCACUCUGUCCUUUUCUGUUCCUAGUGUUUCACAUGUUCCUCGCCUUACCAUGAAUCUUUUUUCUGCUGCCCAACUUACUGAUUCUGGUUGUCGUGUCAUUCUUGAUACCGAUUCUUGCUCCAUUCAGGAUCGUCGCACCAAGACUUUGGUUGGUGCUGGCCCCCGGCACCGUGAGUCAGAGGGCCUUUGGGAGGUUGACUGGCUUUGUGUUCCUUCCACUGCCACCACUUCUGCCAGCUCUCAUGCCCUUGCUGCCUCCUCGUCCGCGUCCUUCCAGCAGUGGCAUCAUCGCCUUGGUCACAUCUGUGGCUCUCGCUUGUUGUCAUUAGUGCGUCAGGGCCUCUUAGGGUCUCUAUCUGGAGAUGUUUCUUUACCUUGUAAUGGUUGUAGACUUGGCAAACAGACUCAACUACCUUAUCCUACCAGUGAGUCAGUAUCUCAGCGUCCUUUUGACUUAGUUCAUUCUGAUGUCUGGGGUCCUGCUCCCUUUGAUUCGAAAGGUGAUCAUCGCUACUAUGUUUUGUUUAUUGAUGAUUUCUCUCGCUACACUUGGCUCUACUUCAUGAAAUCUCGUAGAGGUUCUCUCUAUAUACAAACAAUUUGCUGCCAUGGUUCACACCCAGUUUUCCACGCCUAUUCGUACUUUUCGUGCUGA